Molecule: long non-coding RNA, 7084 nt
Filed under: Octopus vulgaris (common octopus)
Lineage: Eukaryota; Metazoa; Mollusca; Cephalopoda; Octopoda; Octopodidae
Source: RNAcentral
UUUUGUUUAUAAUUUUGUAAUUUUUAUAAUUUUUUUUUUUUUUUGUAAUUUCAUUUUCAUUCCUGUUGGAUCCUGCUUAUCUGUCCAUGACAGCAUUGUUUUUAAUUUGGCUGCAAUCAUUUUCUCUAAUUCCAUCCCUCAGAUGGAGCAAUAGUUUAGUUGACCUUCACACAUUCAGUUAGCAGUGCUGGAGGUAACUCCUUAAAUGCUUCAAAAUUUGUUUUGAUAAGCCAAGGAUAAAUUUGAAACUUGCAGGGAUACAGAUGGAGAACAUGUUGAAAGUUUUCAAUAAAGAUUUCAAUAGAUUUAUAAAUAAGAUUUAUAAAUCUAUUUGUUUUGGUGUCAUAAUGAAGUAAUAAACAUAAAAUUCUGUCAGUUUCUUAAAAUAUUUACCCAAUUUCAUUGAAAUAGUUAAUUCUGGGGCACUCUGUAUAUAAACACACACAUACACUCAUACAUUCAAUGGAUAUGAAUUAAAGGAGAUAAAUAUAUGAUGAUUCUUUUUAGGAAAUAUACACAAAUACAAUUGUGACAAGUUUUGGCACAAUGUCACUCAGCUUCAAAAAUUAUUUCCAAAUUACAUUAGCUCUUUCACAAAUGCUUCUGUGUUGAAGAACUCAUUACCAAAUCAAAUAUUGAACAUGGAAAAAUGAAAUAUCAUUCAAUUUUCAAUUAAAACCUGGUGAACUGAAGCCUAACAAUAAUCAAUAACAGUCAAAUUCUAAGUUAAUAUGUGAAAAUAUAUUCCUUCCAAUGAACACAGACAUAUAUGUAUUAAAAUUUACAUGAUUUCAGAUAUAUGCUUACAUUCUGGAUAAAUUAUAAUACAGAUACAUAGUUACAUUUAGACACGUAUCAACAUAUAAUAUAGUAUAGAGAUAUUUUGUGUCCAGAUGCUUAAAAAUUCACACAUACAUAUUGUACAUAUAGGUAUAUACAUAUGAAUGUGUGUGUGUAUUUGUAUAUAUAUAUAUAUGUGUGUAUAUGUGUAUAUAUAUAUAUAUAUAUAUAUAUAUAUAUACAUACAUGUAUAUAUAUACAUAUAAGUAUACAUAUGCAUAUGUGUCUAUAUAUGUAUAUAUAUUAUGUAUUACAUUAAAUUAAAUCAUUCUAGACAAAUGGCUCUAUGUUUUGUUCCAGAAGAGAUUAUCAAACACAAAAUAUUAUGAUCAAUCAAUAGAAUUUAUAGUUAAGAAUGAGUGGAAUUAUUUGAAAGCUAUAAAUUCCAUCAGCUAAACUAAAUACCUCAUUCAUUUGAUAGCUCAGUUUGAGUGAAGCAUGUGGCCAUCUGUAAUGAAUUAUUUUAUAUAUUAUUCUUGUCAUUCAGCCCUGUGUUGAGUCAUUUCAUAAAUAAUCUUUCAUAUAUAUGUAUAUAGUGUACUAUUCCAUGAUGGUAAGAUUAACAAAAUAAGUACUCCAUCUGGUGAGAGAUGAAUGUUAUUUAAUAAAUAAUCACAAUAUGUAUAUAUAUAUAUAUAUAUAUAUAUAUAUAUAUAUAUAUAUACACACAUACUUAUGAGCUCUUAAUAGUUUUAUGCAGUUUUUAACAUGUCUGGUGUCUUCACACAAUUCUCAGGCUGUGCUCAUAUGGCAUGACAAGCUAAAACAGAUUGCUAGGAUGAGAGUAAAAUGAGAAAAGGUAAGAGGGGAGUAGGUAUAAAAAGUAGAAGGUUGAAAAACCGAAAAAUGAAAAUAUUCUUUUUCCAGUUUUUCAACGUUCCUCCUUUUACAUCUACUCUCCUCUCAUCGUUUCUCAGUUUUUUCUCUCAUGCUAUCGUCUUGUUAUAGCUUGUCAUGUCAUGUGGGCACAACCUGAGGAUUGUGUGAAGGCACCAGACAUGUUGGAAAAUGCUGUCUGAGAUGUAUUCAUCGCAUGAAACUAUUAGUAGCUCAUAAAUAUACACAUACACACACACACACACACACACACACAUAUACAUAAACACAUAUAUGUGUGUGUGUAUUAUAUAUAAACAUCAUCAUUCUGCCUGUUUUUCUGUCUGCAUGGGUCAGAUGUGUAUAUAGGUCCUCUCUAGUAAAGCAUCUUUUUGCAUUUCUUUAUCUUCCCCAUAGUGAUAUUGAACUUCAUAUGACCAGCUUAAGAUUAUAUAUGAUUCUUCUCCUAAUUUCCUUAAUCUUCUUCUUACAUACAUUCAUCCCCCUUAGAUCCUUUGGUAUUUCUAUUUCUUUAUCCAACUGUCACAUUCCAUAUGCAUCACAUGUCCCAAGCAGUAUAGUCUUCUCUUUUUCACAUCUCAUUAUUUUCAUACCUAUUUUCCUAUCAUGCUAGUUGUGUUUCAUAUUCAACAUUUACGUUUCACUAUAAUACAUCACACUUCAUACAGAAGUAUUGUUCAGUUUCCUUUUAGAGGUAGGAGAGAGAAACCCAUUGCUACCAUUUGAAAUAAUAGCUAACUGAAAAUUUUCCCCCACAAUUUUCAUCUGGUUACUUCUGCUGCUAAUUAUGUCAGUUAGGCAAUAGAAGCUAGCAACUGAUUCAGGGAAGCCUUCCAAGCAUUUGAAAGAAUUUAUUCCACAGCCGAUCUUAAUGCUAACUACGACUGUGCAUUUGCUACAUACAAAGCCUUCUUUUCCUGAGAUCCUGCAAUGUCUCUUUUGUGUAUAAUUUAUGGUACAGAAUUACUACACUAUACAAAAUUACUACUUACUCCUUUUCUGCAAAUCAGGUAUGGGCUUGGCCACUUCCCAAAUGGCAGAAGAAACAUUUCUUUACUGCUAACUGAAACUUUUGUCCUUGCUAGCUUUAAGACCUCUCAGUUUCUGGAUAUGCCUCCUCUUUUGGAACUUUGUAAAUCUUUGACAGAUUCAUCAAGUAGACAAAAUCAUCAGCAUACAGGAGUUCUCAUAGACAGCCAAACUUAAAUACAUCUGUUAUAGCUUUAAAAACUAUAAAACACAGUAGUGAUGUUGAGAACUGAACCCUGGUGGACACCUACUUAUGUGUUAAAUUCCUCACUAUACUUAUAGCUCUCACCACUUUGCUGAUGACAUUUCUGUAUAUAACUUCAUAGUUCUUAAAAACUGUUUUCAUCUAGACCCAGUUUUCUUAGCUAACACUAAGCUACAGAUCAUGGUAUCUUAUCAAAGCCCUCUCUGAUUCAAAGAAUGCUAUGUAUAGUGGCUUUCUCUUAGCCAAGAAAGUUUUCUGUAGUUGUCUUACUUGGGGGACAGCAUUGGUAGUAACUUGUCUUGGCCCAAACAAAUGAACUACAAGUGAUUUAAGUUUGUUUGAUUUGUGUUUUCUUUUACUCUUAUAAUUGGAUCCAACAGUUUGAUACCUCUGUAGAUUGAUGCUUCUUUUUAAAGCAUCUUAUUCAUCUUUGUUGUGAUUUCUGAUGAAUUAGCAUAGCUACAUAUUGGGUACUACCAGAAUGUAUGUUUCCUACUUUAUCAGGUAUGCCCAGUAUUUCAUUGAUUGUCUCUAAUUGACCAGCUACUUUCUUUUCAUAUUGUUCAUCUUAAUUAAGGCCAUAUAUGUAGCUGUCACUUUCAGUAACUGGUUCCUCAGUUGGUCUUUUUGAGAUAGUUCUAUCUCUCACAAAUCAUCUAUCAGCAACUUUUCAUAUCACAUCCAUCUAUCUUUCUUCUUAGUGUUGGUAAUGGCAAGUGCACUGCUAUCAUUCCACAUACAGUUCUCCUUAAACAUUUUAAUUUAUGCGCUCAUUCAACAUACAGUUUCCCUUAAACAUCUUAAUUUAUGCUGACAAGCUGCUUAGCAAUCUGAAACAUUUCGUAUCUCUGCCCCUUUCAUCACAGAAUAUUCAAGGCGGUGAGCUGGCAGAAAAGUUAGCACAACAGGUGAAAUGCUUAGCAGUAUUUUGUCUGUCUUUACAUUCUGAGUUCAAAUUCUGCCGAGGCUGACUUUGUCUGUCAUCCUUUCUGGGUCGAUAAGUUAUGUACUGGUGUCAAUCUAAUUGACUGGCCCCUCCCCAAAAAUUUUGAGCCUUGUGCCUAAAGUAGAAAAGAAUAUUCAUAACUAUCAAAUUUUCAGCUUCCCUCUCUACUAUAUACAUCUAAUGAUAAUCUUCUUUUCUAGCUAAUUAGUAUUGUUCCUAUCUCUUUGCCUUUAAUGCAGCCUUUUCACAUCUGUUUCUUUACUUUUAUGGCUCUAUCUACUCUAACACUCCACUACCACAUCACCUUUCAUUGAGAUGGAGCAUGGUUCAACUACCAAUCUGAUUUCUGGUUUCCAGUCGGCUACCUGAUAAAAACUCAUAGGUUUCUUUCUUCUUUGCCUUCUUUUCAUAAGCAUCAUCUGUCACUUCUUCAGAUUGACUUUCAUCUUUAAGUUUGUCAAGCCCUUAUCCUGAUGUUAAUGAUCAACAGUCUAUGUUGAGUUACAUUUUCCAUCAGGAAAACCAUUCAGUAUUUAUAAGCAUUGACUCUCACAUUUCCUUAUGUGUAUGAAGUCUACCUGACUGGCAUUCUCUCUUGAUUGGUUGAUGACCAUGAGGUUAAAAGGUUUCUUGAUGUUUGUAUCACAAAAGAUUAUGUCAUUUGCAUCACAGGAAACCAAGAGUUUUAAAUUGUCUUCAUUCUUUGUACUAUAUCCAUAGCUCCUUUUUACAUUUGAGUAUCCAUUGUAAUGUUGUCCAACAUGUCUAUUAAAGUCCCCAACCAUGACAUUAGGGACAUUGUCAUUUGUUAUUGAAAUACUCUGCAAGAGAGUCUCAUAGAAAUGAUCAUAUCUUUCUUAUUCAGUCCUGAUUGGUGAACACAUUCAGAAAUCCUUGUUGCUAUCAUUAGUCUAUCACUAGUAUAAAUUAAUUAGUUUCUUACAUACUCUGACUACCUCAAUUACUUUAUCUAGUUCUCUGCCAGCAAAAUGCCAACUCCAUGCAACCCAACACUUUUUUAUCCACCCAGAAGAAAUUGUACUUUCCUGUGAGAGGUCAAUCUUAUGCUCCCUUCCAUUAUAAUUUCUUGUAUACAGUACGUAUCUUAUUGCCUCCAUUCUAACAUAUCUAUAAUUUCUUCAGACCUACUUUUCAUUGUGCCAGUCACGAAAUUUUGUACAUGAGAACGAGAAAAAAAUUUCCAAGGUGGGUAGAUAAUUUGAUAUCUAUUUAUGCAUUUGAAGGAUGAAAAAUUGCAACGAUUGUUUAACGACAGUCAAGUGAUUCUCUGAUAUUCCUUCCUGACCACCCCACUACCAUGCACAGCAUAAACAUAUUGAGUGUAUAUCUUGUAUAAGCAAUUAAAAUUUUUCCCUUUUAUUUAUCAAUGUCAUGAUUUUGACAUGGUUUCAUAAGCUAGAUGUACUUCCUGUCAGCAAACACUUUGCAGCAUAGACUGGAUGCAUUUAUCAUGCUGCUGUCACAAGAAGAGUGAUAUAUCAGAACUAAAGUGUCCACUGUACACUGUGUCAGCAUUUACUCAGAGUUACUGCUCUCCUGAGAUAAAUUAUCUGUACUGCAGCUUGUAGAGUGCAUAUCUUUCUAAUCCAUAAUUUUGUUUAGAGUUAAUGCUAUCCUAGUCAGGCUGCCUUCAUUAUAACUGAACAGUCAUGAGUCAAGAAACUUUGAUCAUGAUCACACAGUCGAUCAUAUAGAAGCAUGUUUUCUUUCAUAUAUUGUCAGGAUGAUUGAAGUUGUGGUAGCUGGUCAUACUUGCCAAAAUAGGAGGUGGACACAGGAAGAUCGAGGGGUGCUUUUACAUCAUAGGAAGUUGACAUGUUUAUAGGGCAACGCAGAGUCUAAGUUAAAUAGAGAAAUAAACACUGUCUUAGAUAAAUUAAAAUUUAUGUUUCUGUGUUGCUAUCUAUAAUAAUCUGUGAUACCACCAUUUAUCACUGAAAGUUUUGCAGAUACUUAUAAUGCGGAAUAAUCCAACAAAUACACAACUCAGUAUGUUCCUUAGUUGCUUUUGGACUUCUACAUAGAAUAGGAAAAAAGAAAGGGAGUUGUAAUUACAUAUGUUAAGGUGCUGAACAGGUGACUCAAUGACCCUAUAUUCCUUGCUACUGUCAUUAUGUUAUUUCCUUUAAUCAGGCAUUUUGCUUAGUUCACAUAAAUUUCCCUGAAUGAAAAUGAAAACUCACAGAGUCUGCUCCUAAGAAGGGUAUCAAGCAGAAAAGUCUCAUUUUCAGCAAUCCUCAUAUAGCAAAAUUAAAGUAUGAAAUGGAAAGCAACCCAUCGAAACAAAAAAGAAAAGGGAAAAAAAAUUAAGUAUAGAUUACUCUCACACAUAUCAAAAUUUGUACCAAACCCAGUUCUAGAAAAUUCAAAAGUAAGAACAUUAAUAUGAUAGAGAAAUUUUAUUAAUAAAGCAAAUGUGUCUAUGUGUAUAGAUGAGAGUCUCUUUCUAUAUACACUGACAUGUAUCAAUACACCUACAACACAUGCACACAACCUCAUGAUUUAUACAUGCAAGAAAUUGUUUAACAAACAUUCAACAACAUUUGUUAACCAUCAAAUUUUAAUUUUACUUUUCAAUACUUUGUUGACAUCUGAAAUUUAUUGUCUAAAAUAUAUCAAUAAACAAUGUAAUGAACAUUUACUUUGUAGUGUUUGUGACAUGACAUAUAGCUUUUAGAAAAUACGUUUAAAUGUUUCAUUGUUAAAAAAAGAUGUAUUAACAGGAGACAGAAUAUGAAGAGGAAGUGAACAAAGAAACAGGUGAAAAUAAAUUGAUUGCAAUACAGAUGGAAGUCUACCAGCAAGAUUUUAAAUUUUAAUGAGAUAAGUAUGUUAUAGACAAACACUAAAUGACAUCGAAGGAGGAUGUGGAAUCAUAGUAAGUCAUUUUAUAUUGGGCAGAUGGCUUUCUUCUGAAUAUAGUAAUGACGACCAGGGAUGAUUUAGGAAUGUUUUAGUCAAGUAUAUUUAGGCCUCUGAAAGAAGCAAAAGUUACUAAAAAGUGAAUUAUUUUGUGAUUUGAAUGUAAACAACAAAUUCUUUUAAUGUCCAGUGUUACAUAACCAGUCCACUCAAAAGUACCUUGGAUUGUAGGGUGACAUGCCAUGCUUGAGGGAGGAGACCUAUUGAGUCAAGUACAUAAAAAUCAAAUGGAAAUUGUAGUUGUGAUCCCUGUGCCGGUGGCAUGUAAAAAGCAUCAUCCAAAC